CCGACCAUCAUUAGUGAUGAUGAUCCGAGGUAAACCAAACUGAUAGAUUAUGAAUUUUCAGACAAAAUUCUGUAUCUUUUUUUCUAUGAUUUGGGCUAAAAGCUCUAUUUCUAUCCAUUUUGUGAAAUAAUCAAUAGCCACCAUCAAAACUUUUCUUUGACCUGCCGCUACUAGAAAAGGCCCCAAUAUAUCCAUCCCCUAAAUUACAAGGGGCCAGGGGCUGCAAUAG
This 229-nucleotide long non-coding RNA is filed under the name Elaeis guineensis (African oil palm). Its description in RNAcentral is "long non-coding RNA (EGUI_LNC001958)". The record is from RNAcentral. Lineage: Eukaryota; Viridiplantae; Streptophyta; Magnoliopsida; Arecales; Arecaceae.